This 205-nucleotide transfer-messenger RNA is filed under the name Allobrachymonas sp. RNAcentral's name for it is "partial transfer-messenger RNA". It matches the Rfam family "transfer-messenger RNA", at positions 149 to 374 of the family's 374-position model. From Rfam's summary of the family: Bacterial tmRNA, also known as 10Sa RNA or SsrA, is named for its dual tRNA and mRNA-like properties. Its role is to liberate the mRNA from a stalled ribosome. Lineage: Bacteria; Pseudomonadati; Pseudomonadota; Betaproteobacteria; Burkholderiales; Comamonadaceae. The record is from RNAcentral.
UCAGUGCCUCCCGGCUGCAAGGAUAAUUACAUGGGCUGGCCUUGAUCCGGGUACCUUGGGUCGAGGUAAGAAAAUAGGGUGCUGGCUGUGGGUGUAGCGUGCGACUGCGCGACAUUCAUGGCGAGAGUUAAAACAGACCGCUAAACAUGUAGAUCUGCUCGAUGAAGGCUGACGGACGCGGGUUCAAUUCCCGCCAGCUCCACCA